RNAcentral lists this ribosomal RNA (253 nucleotides) under uncultured bacterium. RNAcentral's name for it is "partial 16S ribosomal RNA". It matches the Rfam family "Bacterial small subunit ribosomal RNA", at positions 524 to 776 of the family's 1533-position model. The record is from RNAcentral.
UACGAGGGGGGCUAGCGUUGCUCGGAAUCACUGGGCGUAAAGCGCACGUAGGCGGCUUUCUAAGUCAGGGGUGAAAUCCUGGAGCUCAACUCCAGAACUGCCUUUGAUACUGGGAAGCUCGAGUCCGGAAGAGGUGAGUGGAACUCCGAGUGUAGAGGUGAAAUUCGUAGAUAUUCGGAAGAACACCAGUGGCGAAGGCGGCUCACUGGUCCGGUACUGACGCUGAGGUGCGAAAGCGUGGGGAGCAAACAGG